Phascolarctos cinereus (koala) is the source of this 849-nucleotide non-coding RNA. NCBI's taxonomy places the organism in Eukaryota, Metazoa, Chordata, Mammalia, Diprotodontia, Phascolarctidae. The record is from RefSeq and is a predicted model, not a curated record.
UGGACGCUGGCUCCCAGCAGGCCGCGCCUGGCCACACCGAUGCCGGCCGGACGGUUGGAUGACCCAAGUCCCUCCUCUCCUCGGGCUGCCUGUGUAUCCACAUGAUCCUUCAAGGCAUAAGCAGCUUCUUCAUCCAUAGAGGGUCCUGCUAACAAAAGAACCUCAUUAUUACUUAGCUCAGAAUGUUCAGUGGUCUCUGCCAUGGUCCAACCACUUCUAGAGAACUGUCUGGGUCCGAGUUCCUCAUUUUAUGAAAAACACUGAAAAGUUGGAGUAGGUUCAGAUGAUAGCAGCUAUGGUGAUGAGAAAGCAGAUCUUGUGAAAAUUGGUAAGAAGGAGGAGGAGGAGGAGGAUGAUGACGACGACGAUGAUGACAACAACAAUUUGGGAUGUUUUAUUCUGGAGAAAGAAAGGCUGAGGGAGCGACAAGCUGAUGUCUGUCUGCAAUCUUUUACGUGGUCGUGUUAAAGGGAGAUUCAGCUCAUUCUCCUUAGCCCCACAGGGCAGAAUUAGGACCAAUGGGUGGAAGCUACAGGGAAGUCAUUGUGGACCCCAUAUAAAAAGAGUUUCCACAAUUUGAAGGAACUGUCUAGUGAUUUCCCUGUCACUGUCAUUCUUCAAGUGAAAUUUGAAUGAUCUCUUUUUGGAGUUGUUGUAUCUUUAGAUAGGACUUGGACUUGAUAAUUUAAGAACUCUUCUAAUCUUAAGGUUUUAUGAUUUUAAAAGGAAGGAAAUAGGGGAAAUAGGAGACCUGGAUUUUUUCUUUUUUAUCUUUCUUCAGCUUAACUGCAUGACCGUAAAGUGUUAAUCAAAAAUCUUUUAGGGCAGGUAGGUGGAGCAUUGGAUAGA